This 100-nucleotide transfer RNA is filed under the name marine sediment metagenome. RNAcentral describes it as "tRNA-OTHER". It matches the Rfam family "tRNA". From Rfam's summary of the family: Transfer RNA (tRNA) molecules are approximately 80 nucleotides in length. Their secondary structure includes four short double-helical elements and three loops (D, anti-codon, and T loops). The record is from RNAcentral.
GCGGCGGUAGCUCAGAUGGCCUAGAGCGCCGGUCCUUAAGGCUGUUGGCCCGGGCCUAUGGCUGGACUGGAGGUCGUUGGUUCAAAACCAACCCGCCGCG